AUUGAACGCUGGCGGCAGGCUUAACACAUGCAAGUCGAGCGGAGAGAGGUAGCUUGCUACUGAUCUUAGCGGCGGACGGGUGAGUAAUGCUUAGGAAUCUGCCUAUUAGUGGGGGACAACAUUUCGAAAGGAAUGCUAAUACCGCAUACGUCCUACGGGAGAAAGCAGGGGAUCUUCGGACCUUGCGCUAAUAGAUGAGCCUAAGUCGGAUUAGUCAGUUGGUGGGGUAAAGGCCUACCAAGGCGACGAUCUGUAGCGGGUCUGAGAGGAUGCUCCGCCACACUGGGAAUGAGACACGGCCCAGACUCCUACGGGAGGCAGCAGUGGGGAAUAUUGGACAAUGGGCGCAAGCCUGAUCCAGCCAUGCCGCGUGUGUGAAGAAGGCCUUAUGGUUGUAAAGCACUUUAAGCGAGGAGGAGGCUACUUUAGAUAAUACCUAGAGAUAGUGGACGUUACUCGCAGAAUAAGCACCGGCUAACUCUGUGCCAGCCGCCGCAGUAA
Molecule: ribosomal RNA, 501 nt
Filed under: uncultured bacterium
Lineage: Bacteria
Description: partial 16S ribosomal RNA
Rfam family: Bacterial small subunit ribosomal RNA
Source: RNAcentral